GACGAACGCUGGCGGCGCGCUUAACACAUGCAAGUCGAACGGAAAGGCCUGCUUUCCCUUGUGGAUUGCGGGUACUCGAGUGGCGAACGGGUGAGUAACACGUGAGUGAUCUGCCCCCAACUUGGGUAUAAGCCUGGGAAACUGGGUCUAAUUCCCGAUAGGGCUGCAGGGUGGUGCCUGUGGUGGAAAACGAUUUUCUAGUGGUUGGGGAUGAGCUCGCGGCCUAUCAGCUUGUUGGUGGGGUAAUGGCCUACCAAGGCGGCGACGGGUAGCCGGCCUGAGAGGGUGGACGGCCACAUUGGGACUGGGAUACGGCCCAGACUCCUACGGGAGGCAGCAGUGGGGAAUAUUGCACAAUGGGCGGAAGCCUGAUGCAGCGACGCCGCGUGGGGGAUGACGGCCUUCGGGUUGUAAACUCCUUUCGACCGCGAGGAAGCCACCUGGUUGGAAGGGUGGUGACGGUAGUGGUAGAAGAAGCACCGGCUAACUACGUG
This 494-nucleotide ribosomal RNA is filed under the name uncultured bacterium. Its description in RNAcentral is "partial 16S ribosomal RNA". It matches the Rfam family "Bacterial small subunit ribosomal RNA", at positions 28 to 507 of the family's 1533-position model. The record is from RNAcentral.